CUACGGGACGCACCAGUGGGGAAUAUUGGACAAUGGGGGAAACCCUGAUCCAGCAAUGCCGCGUGUGUGAAGAAGGCCUGCGGGUUGUAAAGCACUUUCGGUUGGGAGGACUGCUUCUAGCACUAAUAUUGUUGGAAGUUGACGUUACCUUCAGAAGAAGCACCGGCUAACUCCGUGCCAGCAGCCGCGGUAAUACGGAGGGUGCAUGCGUUAAUCAGAAUUACUGGGCGUAAAGCGCGCGUAGGCGGCUAGAUCAGUCGGGUGUGAAAGCCCCGGGCUUAACCGGGGAACUGCAUCCGAUACUGUCUAGCUUGAGUACAGGAGAGGAGAGUGGAAUUCCACAUGUAGCGGUGAAAUGCGUAGAUAUGUGGAGGAACACCAAUGGCGAAGGCAGCUCUCUGGCCUGAUACUGACGCUGAGGUGCGAAAGCGUGGGGAGCAAACAGGAUUAGAUACCCCUGUAGUC
This 465-nucleotide ribosomal RNA is filed under the name uncultured bacterium. Its description in RNAcentral is "partial 16S ribosomal RNA". It matches the Rfam family "Bacterial small subunit ribosomal RNA", at positions 339 to 795 of the family's 1533-position model. The record is from RNAcentral.